GGGGUGCCGGAUGGGCUGCUCUCCCAGCAGCCAUUUGGAAGAUGCUUCCAGUCAAGUCUCAAUCUCAGUCGGUCACUGGUCCAUGUAUAUUUCAUGGACAUCUACCCUGUGCUGGGCACUGGGCAGACAACAGUCUACUGGACCCAGUCUCACUCUCAAGGGGACUGUAGUCCAAGAGAGAGGCAGGUAGAUUAUCAGAUGAAGAAACUGAGGCUCAAAGAGCCACAGCGGGACGGAGGAGGUGGACCCGGCUCUGAUGCAGCUUGGUGACGCAAGGUGAGCUGAAGGAGAGCCGCUUGGGUGAGGAUUAUGAAGGCACGGGUGCCAUGGAAACCACUCUGAAGGCCCCCUAAAGCUGCAGCUGUCAGGAGGGGCUGUCUGCUGCCAUUGGUCGGCCACGUGGACCCUCUCCCUAACACGAUGCGUGACUUUUAUUUAUUUUACUCUGUUUUGCAUCUUAUGCCUGCUCUCGGCUUCUCUUGGCUUCCUCACAGUCCUGGUGCAGGAUGCUGCCUGCAGGUCAGUAGGAUAAAGGUGCUAAUGUUUUCUGUUUCUCUUUUUUGAACUUCUGACUUUUUAGGCUCAUUUUCUGGUGCUCUCUCCUCCAUGCCAUAAGGCAGCACAGAUUUCAAGCCAUAGAUGUUGGAGGCAGAAAAUGGGAUUAUGUUAGACAGAGAGGGAAGCCAGCUCUUCUAGCAGGUGCUGUAGAAAUGGCUUCUGAUUUUGGUCACAGAAGCAGUCCCUAACUUUCCCUGCAAAUCCAAGAAGCCCUCAAAGGGGCCAAAGGCAGGC
Molecule: long non-coding RNA, 792 nt
Filed under: Homo sapiens (human)
Lineage: Eukaryota; Metazoa; Chordata; Mammalia; Primates; Hominidae
Description: long intergenic non-protein coding RNA 1973
Source: RNAcentral